AUACUCACUCUGGCAGUAUAUAUACCAAAGCUGGAAUGACAGAGAAGAUCAGCAUAGCCUCUGUGCACGGAUGAUAUGUAAAUAAUGAAGUGUGAACCUGUACU
Talpa occidentalis (Iberian mole) is the source of this 104-nucleotide small nuclear RNA. The record is from RefSeq and is a predicted model, not a curated record. NCBI's taxonomy places the organism in Eukaryota, Metazoa, Chordata, Mammalia, Eulipotyphla, Talpidae.